UCCCUGCUGCGGCGGGGAGGGGCGGCUAGCCGCGACGGCGGCGGACGGAGGGGGAGGGCCGCGAGCCUUCGGAACCAGCCUCGAGGGUGCUGAACCCCGCGCGCCCGCCUCGCCGCGGCCCCCGGGUGGGGGCGUCCACGGCCCGGGUUCCCGGCGGGCUUGGGGCAGGGACGCAGUCCGGAGAUUCCGGGACUGCCCGGCUGCUGCAGCCCGCAGGCUCCUCUCUCCUCCCCGCUUCCCCUCCGCACUGCCUGGGCUAAAGGCGGCCAAGCUGAGGCUCCGAAAGAAAGUAAGUAAGAGUGGGCCGUAGGAGGUGGGAAGGGAGGGACCCCUUCCAGGGCCAUCCCCACCUCAGCCCCCCGGCCCGCCCCUCGCCCCGUGGGAGGGUGAACUAAGUGGGCUGGAGCGGACGGGAGGGAGCUUUUGGGCCCCUUUGUCUCCCCCAGCCGCACUGACACCCCCAUUUUCCACACUGAUUUUCAACGUGAAGCUCAAGUCCUCAAAGAUCUUUCUUGGGGUCUGACUUAGAGGCAGGGGGACAUCCCAGAUGCCGUUGAGUAGGCUGAGAUGGUUUGGAGACUCAUCCUCGCCGGAGGUCCUGCAAGCCACUGAAGUGGCACAGACGCGUGUGCGCGGAGUGGGGCGGUGUGUCGGGCCACAGGCCAAGCCCAAGUCGGCCUCCCAGAGUGUUUGCCACGGUUUGGGCGGAGGGAAAAUUGCAACCCUUGCCUACAACCAGACUGACAGCAUAAUUUCUUAGGAAUCAAGAAUCAAUACAGGGUUAUUUCUUUAGAUUAAACCUUAAAAGCCCCCUUGGAGGCUGAAGAAGCAGAGGAUAGCCAUGCAUACACUUGAACGUGAAAAAUGGUCCUCUUUCAUUGGAGAGGUCUUCCUCUUCAGCUAAACCGACAGAGUGGUGAAAAGAAGAAGGGACCCCUUGUUGACCAAAAUAAUCCAGACAAAUCAAAUCGGCCCUUUCCAGCAAGGAGUGGAACAGCCCAAGGGUGGCUAGAUCACAUCUUCUGCUCACACCACCACUGAGCAACCCUCUCCAGGACUGCCACCUAUGCAUAGGUCAUGCCCUGUGCAAGAGCACAUAAAGUGGGAGCUGAAGUCCUGCCCAGGCUCCAUUCACCAAGCAGAGCUUAUGUUGUUGUGUGUCUGUGUCUACCCAGAGGAUGUGGGUCCUUUUUAAAAUGUGCACCAAUGCAUCUUGUAUGAGCUGGCACCAGCUCGGACCAUCCCACCCUCAUACCCUGGUCCUAUCCAGGGUUAUAUUCCCUACUUUAGAAGAAUUAAUUAUUUUUAUGAACGUAUUUAGUUUAUUGUAAAAAAUGAAAUAUAUGACACAAAUUGAAAUUAAUUUCAGAGGUAAAGGUCAGAAUAUUACCAUGUAUGUGAAUUAUGUUUGUAUGUAUAUGUAUAUAUCAAGAGAGUUAUAUGAAUAUACAUUUUUGUGUAUCAGAAGUGAGGACAAUUUAACUUUGUUAAGUGUUUGAAAUAAAAUUAUUUUGAGUUUU
Molecule: long non-coding RNA, 1520 nt
Filed under: Homo sapiens (human)
Lineage: Eukaryota; Metazoa; Chordata; Mammalia; Primates; Hominidae
Description: HSALNT0322691
Source: RNAcentral